RNAcentral lists this ribosomal RNA (119 nucleotides) under Escherichia coli. Its description in RNAcentral is "partial 23S ribosomal RNA". The stretch from base 1 to 101 matches the Rfam family "Bacterial large subunit ribosomal RNA", at positions 2825 to 2925 of the family's 2925-position model. The record is from RNAcentral. Lineage: Bacteria; Pseudomonadati; Pseudomonadota; Gammaproteobacteria; Enterobacterales; Enterobacteriaceae. RNAcentral also lists the same sequence under 2 other names.
UCCUGAAGGAACGUUGAAGACGACGACGUUGAUAGGCCGGGUGUGUAAGCGCAGCGAUGCGUUGAGCUAACCGGUACUAAUGAACCGUGAGGCUUAACCUUACAACGCCGAAGGUGUUU